UUAGGAAGGGGUUUUCUAAAAAUUAGAAUUCUUUCAUUUUGCCAGUUUUCUUUCUCUCUCCAAAACCCUUGUCCUAAAAUUCUCUCUGCCUUCUCUCUAGAUUUUCUAACCGAUCAAAUUUUGAUUUGAAGGUGUUUCCGCGCUCGCUGCACCAAGGGCUUCAGUUUGAAUCGAACGUUUUUCCAUUCUGACUGGUGCUGUCAAACUCGCCUCUGUGAGGAGGUACUGCUAGAGCGUUCCUCGGAGUGGUACUGUUGAGCUUUCCAAGAUAGAGGAACCUUAAAAACCUGAGUUGGCACAUCCUGAUCGUAGAGCAGCCCUGGCCUGAUCCAGUCAGUUGUGACUGGCGUCGAAGGGUGGGGAACCCAAGUUUCAUAAGUCACCGCGAGUGCAGGACCCGCCAUAGCUCGACUAUCAUUCUAAAAUCCGGACGAAUCAAGUCUAGAAGAUAACAUGCUAGGAUGUAUGCCUUGAACUGCUUUGAUUUAAGUUAACUCUUGUAUGUUAUGUGCUUGAUAUGAUGCAUGCUUUUAUAUAAUUAGCUCACCCUUGCUUGUUUUGUGUGCUUGUUGUAUGUGUUUUCUUUUGCAAUGAUCAUCCACUUGGAUGUGAGCAGAGGAAGAUGAGGUUUCUUUGGAGGCAACAUUGGAGAGAAAUGAAGAUGAUGCUGCAGCUUAGACUCACUAGGAAUUCUUAGUUCUCUUAUGUCAUUUUGAAGUUUUAAUUUCUUAGUAAAUUCUGGAAAACUGUAAUCCUAUAAUACUUUAAGUACGUCUAUUAACUGCUUUCUAAUAUUAUAAAUUGGUGAUGUCUUUGCAUA
Molecule: long non-coding RNA, 820 nt
Organism: Vigna angularis (adzuki bean)
Lineage: Eukaryota; Viridiplantae; Streptophyta; Magnoliopsida; Fabales; Fabaceae
Exons: 4
Source: RefSeq, a predicted model, not a curated record